This is a non-coding RNA of Phrynosoma platyrhinos (Desert horned lizard), 73 nucleotides long. Lineage: Eukaryota; Metazoa; Chordata; Lepidosauria; Squamata; Phrynosomatidae. The record is from the annotation of a GenBank genome assembly.
GUCAGUGUGGUGUAGUGGUUUGAAUGUUGGACUGGGACUCCUGGAGAUCAGGGUUUGAAUCCCUACUCAGCCA